Long non-coding RNA from Danio aesculapii, 450 nucleotides. RefSeq lists it as uncharacterized. The transcript is spliced from 3 exons. NCBI's taxonomy places the organism in Eukaryota, Metazoa, Chordata, Actinopteri, Cypriniformes, Danionidae. The record is from RefSeq and is a predicted model, not a curated record.
CUAAAGAGGAGCAGUUUAUUGGGGCAGAUUUUGAUAAAGAGAAUGGGUGCCAUACAUCAGACCUCACAUUAAAUCAGGUAUGAAACGAGAGAUGUCGUCCUCUGUUGCUGGUCUAUCUGUAUAAAUAAGAGGAAGAGCUCAUCCAGGAGUGCAAUUGUGGGAAUGCACAGAGAAUUGCUGUCUGUCAGAGGGAUGACCAACCAUGAGGACUUCUGCAUUGUCUUGGAGGAUAAGCAAGUCAUGGCUAGCCUGGAAAAUCUAGAAUCGCUGAACUGGAUUUAUACAAAUAUUCCACAAAUUAAAAUCACUUACAAAGAAACGAAUAUUAAGUUUGCAAUACACAAAUUCUGUCAAAUAUUGUCUAAAAUGUGACUAUUCCUACAAAGGAAAGUUGACAGGUCAGUUUUUUCCAUGACAUGGAUAAAGGAAUUUUUAUCAGAGAUUAGCAUU